AUCGCAAACCUUUUGGGAAAAAAAUGUUAUGUUAUAAUCUUAGAAAUCAUGUACAGUAGAGUCACUUAUCCAACAUUCUGGAUUAGCCAACGCAUUUUUGUAGUCAAUGUUUUCAAUACAUCGUGAUAUUUUGGUGCUAAAUUCGUAAAUACAGUAAUUACUACAUAGCAUUACUGCUUAUUGAACUACUUUUUCUGUCAAAUUUGUUGUUAAACAUGAUGUUUUGGUGCUUAAUUUGUAAAAUCAUAACCUAAUUUGAUGUGUAAUAGGCUUUUCCUUAAUCCCUCCUUAUUUUCCAACAUAUUCGCUUAUCCAACGUUCUGCCGGCCCGUUUAUGUUGGAUAAGUGAGACUCUAAUGUAUUUGUAAACAUAUACAUGAAAGCUGCCUUGUUGUGAGUUUCCCAGGCUGUAUGGCCAUGUUCCAGAAGCAUUCUCUCCUGACGCUUCGCCCACAUCUCUGGCAGGCUUCCUCAGAGGUUGUGAGGUAUAUUGGAAGAAACGAAGCAAGAAGGUUUAUAUAUCUGUGAAAGGUCCAGGGUGAGAGAAAGAACUCUUGUCUGUUGGAGGCCUGUGUGAAUGUUUUAAUUAAACACUUUGAUUAGCAUUAAUGGCCUUGCUGAAGUCGAACAUGACCCCCCCCCCCAGUAAAAGAUUGUAACUUAUAGUUUUGCUAAGGACAAAGACAUCAAGCUGGAUAAUAAUCAAUUGAUCAAUUUGCAAAGGCAACAACAACAAGGACCCUUCCCAUAUUAGGUAGUGUGUACAUUUAAUCAAGGCUUUAUGUCCUACAUUUCAUAUAUUUAUAGCAGAAGGUACAAAAUUUAUUACUGGAAACUGGUAUUUGACCUUUACCAAGCCCAGCCCUCCCCCCCCCCCCUCCCUCUUUUGCUAGCCUUUGGCCUAGAGGCCUAGAAAUGUAGAUUUCUCUUUUGUUUAAGAGCUAUUGACUGGAGUAAGAAACAAUUAACUGAGUCGUUAGUUCUCAGGCAGAAGGCCCUUUGUCAAAAGCUGGGAGGAGGAGGGUUUGCAUUUCUGGGCUUUUGGUCUGAGACUAGCAAGAGAAACAAAAAAGCCCCGUGAACAAUAUAUCUUAUAAUCUUGCCCUCAUUUCUCAAAACUGAAAUGUAUCUUUCUGUCUCUCUGUAUCACCUUGACACACAUUUUUCUGUUCUUUUAGACUAGACUCUCCUGCCCAUUUUGCUCCCUUUCCCUUGCCAUUCAUUUCCCCUUUUAUGAAUUUUUAUGUAUCAGGGACCCCCUUCCGCUUCCUCCCCACAUGUACCCCUCUCCCCUUGCAUUGUUCCAAGCCCCAGGGUACCCCAACCUGCCCCCUUCGCCUGCCUGGCCAGGAAAGGAAAAUCCUGGGAUUCCCUUCUAAGAAAAGCCCCAUGAAUACGCGUCCAGAGAUAGGAGCCUGGAUAAACGGUCAUAAGGGAACCUGUGUUCGUUUCCCCAGUCCCAUGGGAUGUUGGGUCAUUUUGGAUUCUCCCCGGAAUAUUGGGUUCCUUGUAUGUCACUAUAAUUUUAUUAUUAUUAUUUAUCAUUAUUUCUUAUUGCCUAUAUUAUUCUUAUUGCUGCAAUGUCUUUCCCCACAUAAUUGGAACAUGAUAACCUCAACCUGAACUCUGGCCAGCACACCAUCCUGCCCAAGCAACAUCAGGAUGCCUCAGGGCUAUGUAUGACAAACAUGGGUUAUCAGAAAUCACCGUCUGCAAAGAAACAAUGGAUUUUUUUUCCUUCCUGGACUUCGGAGGGCAAGAUGCCAGACUAUCUAGGAAGAAAGGAACCUUUUGGACAUUUAAAUCACUCAUCAUAAAAGACUCAUCUUCCUGGAAGGCAGAGGCAAGGCUUGACAAAAGCCACCUUUUCCUUGGACUUUGAGUCACAGAUAUUCCCAUCACCGAUCCUACGGACAAACCAGCAGGGGCCAGACUCCUAUUCAUGAAUCUGGACAAAUCAAUCAAUUAAACUAAGCCAGGUCCGGUUGGAACGCCACAGGCAGUCACUGGGCUAUUUAGACAAAAUAUCAUCACUGAGUCACCUAUAAUCUUGUCAUUUCCACAUGUGUACCCUUUGUUUCUCCUGUUGCCGCACCUCCAUCUCCCCCAUUGGCCAGCAAGAGAGUGAGGUCACAGAUGGGGCUCACACUCUCAUUGGAAGAGGCCCUUAGUGGCUCCCCCUCUAUUCUGCCUUGGUCAGACCACACCUGGAAUACUGCGUCCAAUUCUGGGCACCGCAGUUGAAGGGAGAUGUUGACAAGCUGGAAAGCGUCCAGAGGAGGGCAACUAAAAUGAUCAAAGGUCUGGAGAACAAGCCCUAUGAGGAGAGGCUUAAAGAACUGGCAGGGAGGAAAAAGCGCCCUGAAAAACAUGCCGGCGAUCCAGUCAGAAAGGCGUCUAUGAACAACAAAGCUCCUUGGCGUGGAAGAAUGGAACAACAGCACUUCCUUAUGGCCAAGUCUUUUGUCUUUUAGCGGGGAGGAAAAAGCGCCCUGGAAAACAUGCCGGCGAUCCAGUCAGAAAGGUGUCUAUGAACAACAAAGCUCCUUGGCGUGGAAGAAUGGAACAACAGCACUUCCUUAUGGCCAAGUCGAGCACAGCAUCCAGAUUGCAGAUACAGAUAAAAGAGGGAAAGCCUGCCUCUGUUUAUAUACAGUUCUGUCUUUGUCUAUUGCAUAAAGGCAUUAAAUGUUUGCCACAUAUGUAUUUGUAAUCUACUCUGAGUCCCCUCGGCGAGAUAGAGCGAAAUAUAAAUAAAGUACUAUAUUAUUAUUA
Long non-coding RNA from Anolis carolinensis (green anole), 2775 nucleotides. RefSeq lists it as uncharacterized. The transcript has 2 exons. NCBI's taxonomy places the organism in Eukaryota, Metazoa, Chordata, Lepidosauria, Squamata, Anolidae. The record is from RefSeq and is a predicted model, not a curated record.